This 510-nucleotide ribosomal RNA is filed under the name uncultured bacterium. RNAcentral's name for it is "partial 16S ribosomal RNA". It matches the Rfam family "Bacterial small subunit ribosomal RNA", at positions 28 to 507 of the family's 1533-position model. The record is from RNAcentral.
GACGAACGCUGGCGGCGUGCUUAACACAUGCAAGUCGAACGAAGAGCGACGGAAGCUUGCUUCUAUCAAUCUUAGUGGCGAACGGGUGAGUAACGCGUAAUCAACCUGCCCUUCAGAGGGGGACAACAGUUGGAAACGACUGCUAAUACCGCAUACGAUCUAACCUCGGCAUCGAGGAUAGAUGAAAGGUGGCCUCUACAUGUAAGCUAUCACUGAAGGAGGGGAUUGCGUCUGAUUAGCUAGUUGGAGGGGUAACGGCCCACCAAGGCGAUGAUCAGUAGCCGGUCUGAGAGGAUGAACGGCCACAUUGGGACUGAGACACGGCCCAGACUCCUACGGGUGGCAGCAGUGGGGAAUCUUCCGCAAUGGACGAAAGUCUGACGGAGCAACGCCGCGUGAGUGAUGACGGCCUUCGGGUUGUAAAGCUCUGUUAAUCGGGACGAAAGGCCUUCUUGCGAAUAGUGAGAAGGAUUGACGGUACCGGAAGAGAAAGCCACGGCUAACUACGUG